Molecule: ribosomal RNA, 463 nt
Filed under: Bacillus sp. HCS-412
Lineage: Bacteria; Bacillati; Bacillota; Bacilli; Caryophanales; Bacillaceae
Description: bacterial SSU rRNA
Rfam family: Bacterial small subunit ribosomal RNA
Source: RNAcentral
AUGGCUCAGGAUGAACGCUGGCGGCGUGCCUAAUACAUGCAAGUCGAGCGAAUGACGAGGAGCUUGCUCCUCUGAUUUAGCGGCGGACGGGUGAGUAACACGUGGGUAAUCUGCCUGUAAGACGGGGAUAACUUCCGGGAAACCGGGGCUAAUACCGGAUAAUAAGAGAAGAAGCAUUUCUUCUUUUUGAAAGUCGGUUUCGGCUGACACUUACAGAUGAGCCCGCGGCGCAUUAGCUAGUUGGUGAGGUAACGGCUCACCAAGGCGACGAUGCGUAGCCGACCUGAGAGGGUGAUCGGCCACACUGGGACUGAGACACGGCCCAGACUCCUACGGGAGGCAGCAGUAGGGAAUCUUCGGCAAUGGGCGAAAGCCUGACCGAGCAACGCCGCGUGAGCGAUGAAGGCCUUCGGGUCGUAAAGCUCUGUUGUUAGAGAAGAACAAGUACGAGAGUAACUGCUCG